Molecule: ribosomal RNA, 200 nt
Filed under: uncultured bacterium
Lineage: Bacteria
Description: partial 16S ribosomal RNA
Rfam family: Bacterial small subunit ribosomal RNA
Source: RNAcentral
AGAGUUUGAUCCUGGCUCAGGACGAACGCUGGCGGCGUGCUUAAUACAUGCAAGUCGAGCGCUAAUGUUCCUUCGGGAACGUUGGAGCGGCGGACGGGUGAGUAACGCGUGGGCAAUCUGCCCUCUAGCCUGGGAUAACAGUUCGAAAGGACUGCUAACACCGGAUAUGCUCAUAGCCUGGCAUCAGGCAGUGAGGAAAG